RNAcentral lists this ribosomal RNA (375 nucleotides) under uncultured Glomeromycotina. RNAcentral's name for it is "LSU rRNA". The record is from RNAcentral. Lineage: Eukaryota; Fungi; Glomeromycota.
UUGAAAGGGAAACGAUUGAAGUCAGUCGUACCAGCGGGAAAUCAACCUUUCGAGUGGGGGUUUUGGAGUUUUGAAGAGUGUCAAAACCUUUGAGAUUUCAAAAUUUUCGCUCCUUUGGUGUACUUUCUCGUGGGUAGGUUAACAUCGAUUUCGAUCAUCAUAAAAGGAUUGGAGGAAUGUAGCUUCGAUCUUGUAUUGAAGUGUUAUAGCCUUUGGUAAAUGUGAUGAUUGGGAUCGAGGAUUGCAACGAAUACCCUUUUGGGCUAUCCGCCUGAUCUCUGAUACGUGGCCUUGGCAUCGGAAGCUUGCUUAUGGUAUCAAGGUAUUACGGUCAAAAGGUUAGAACGGAUUACAUUCGUUAAGGAUGUUGACGUA